This 378-nucleotide unclassified non-coding RNA is filed under the name uncultured Chlamydiales bacterium. RNAcentral's name for it is "contains 16S-23S intergenic spacer region". The record is from RNAcentral. Lineage: Bacteria; Pseudomonadati; Chlamydiota; Chlamydiia; Chlamydiales.
UCCUAGUUAACCUAGGCAGUCUCGCUAGAGUUCCCGCCAUUACGCGCUGGCAACUAACGAUAAGGGUUGCGCUCGUUGCGGGACUUAACCCAACACCUCACGGCACGAGCUGACGACAGCCAUGCAGCACCUGUGCAGCAGUCCCGAAGGAAGACUCUAUCUCUAGAGUUGUCUACUGCAUGUCAAGCCUGGGUAAGGUUCUUCGCGUUGCAUCGAAUUAAACCACAUGCUCCACUGCUUGUGCGGGUCCCCGUCAAUUCUUUUGAGUUUCACCCUUGCGAGCGUACUCCCCAGGCGGCAUACUUAAUACGUUAGCUCCGGCACAGCUGGGGUUGAGUCCAGCUACACCUAGUAUGCAUUGUUUACGGCAAGGACUAC